AUUGAACGCUGGCGGCAUGCCUUACACAUGCAAGUCGAACGGAGAUUCAGCAAUGGAUCUUAGUGGCGAACGGGUGAGUAACGCGUAGGCAAUCUGCCUUCUAGAUGGGGACAACAUCCCGAAAGGGGUGCUAAUACCGAAUGUUGUAUGAUCUUCGCAUGGAGAUGAUACUAAAGGUGGCCUCUGAAUAUGCUACCGCUAGAAGAUGAGCCUGCGUCUGAUUAGCUAGUUGGAGGGGUAACGGCCCACCAAGGCUUCGAUCAGUAGCCGGUCUGAGAGGAGGAACGGCCACACUGGGACUGAGACACGGCCCAGACUCCUACGGGAGGCAGCAGUGGGGAAUCUUCCGCAAUGGACGAAAGUCUGACGGAGCAACGCCGCGUGAGUGAAGAAGGUUUUCGGAUCGUAAAGCUCUUUCGUUAGGGACGAACGUGCUCUUUGUGAAUAAUGAGGAGUAAUGACGGUACCUAAAUAAGAAGCCACGGCUAACUACGUGCCAGCAGCCGCAGUAA
This 512-nucleotide ribosomal RNA is filed under the name uncultured bacterium. RNAcentral describes it as "partial 16S ribosomal RNA". It matches the Rfam family "Bacterial small subunit ribosomal RNA", at positions 30 to 523 of the family's 1533-position model. The record is from RNAcentral.